This 253-nucleotide ribosomal RNA is filed under the name uncultured bacterium. Its description in RNAcentral is "partial 16S ribosomal RNA". It matches the Rfam family "Bacterial small subunit ribosomal RNA", at positions 524 to 776 of the family's 1533-position model. The record is from RNAcentral.
UACGUAGGGUGCGAGCGUUAAUCGGAAUUACUGGGCGUAAAGCGUGCGCAGGCGGCUUUGCAAGACAGAUGUGAAAUCCCCGGGCUCAACCCCGGAACUGCCUUUGAAACUAGAUUGCUAGAAUCCUGGAGAGGCGAGUGGAAUUCCGAGUGUAGAGGUGAAAUUCGUAGAUAUGCGGAGGAACACCAAUGGCGAAGGCAAUCCCCUGGGCCUGUACUGACGCUCAUGCACGAAAGCGUGGGGAGCAAACAGG